UCCGGAGGGUGCAAGCGUUAUCCGGAAUCACUGGGUUUCAAGGGUGCGUAGGCGGCGCAAUAAGUCAGAGGUGAAAGCCUGCAGCUCAACUGUAGAAUUGCCUUUGAUACUGCUGCGCUUGAAUCAGGUUGAGGUUGGCGGAAUGUGGCAUGUAGCGGUGAAAUGCAUAGAUAUGCCAUAGAACACCAAUUGCGAAGGCAGCUGACUGGGCCUGAAUUGACGCUGAGGCACGAAAGCGUGGGGAGAAAACAGG
RNAcentral lists this ribosomal RNA (253 nucleotides) under uncultured bacterium. Its description in RNAcentral is "partial 16S ribosomal RNA". It matches the Rfam family "Bacterial small subunit ribosomal RNA", at positions 524 to 776 of the family's 1533-position model. The record is from RNAcentral.